AAACCGGGCGAUCUAUCCAUGGGCAGGUUGAAGGUUGGGUAACACUAACUGGAGGACCGAACCGACUACCGUUGAAAAGUUAGCGGAUGACCUGUGGAUCGGAGUGAAAGGCUAAUCAAGCUCGGAGAUAGCUGGUUCUCCUCGAAAGCUAUUUAGGUAGCGCCUCAUGUAUCACUGUAGGGGGUAGAGCACUGUUUCGGCUAGGGGGUCAUCCCGACUUACCAAACCGAUGCAAACUCCGAAUACCUACAAGUGCCGAGCAUGGGAGACACACGGCGGGGGCUAACGUCCGUCGUGAAAAGGGAAACAACCCAGACCGUCAGCUAAGGUCCCAAAGUUAUGGUUAAGUGGGAAACGAUGUGGGAAGGCUUAGACAGCUAGGAGGUUGGCUUAGAAGCAGCCACCCUUUAAAGAAAGCGUAAUAGCUCACUAGUCGAGUCGGCCUGCGCGGAAGAUGUAACGGGGCUCAAACCAUACACCGAAGCUACGGGUAUCACGUAAGUGAUGCGGUAGAGGAGCGUUCUGUAAGCCUGUGAAGGUGAGUUGAGAAGCUUGCUGGAGGUAUCAGAAGUGCGAAUGCUGACAUGAGUAACGACAAUGGGUGUGAAAAACACCCACGCCGAAAGACCAAGGUUUCCUGCGCAACGUUAAUCGACGCAGGGUUAGUCGGUCCCUAAGGCGAG
Molecule: ribosomal RNA, 683 nt
Filed under: Muricoccus nepalensis
Lineage: Bacteria; Pseudomonadati; Pseudomonadota; Alphaproteobacteria; Acetobacterales; Roseomonadaceae
Description: Roseomonas nepalensis Bacterial large subunit ribosomal RNA
Rfam family: Bacterial large subunit ribosomal RNA
Source: Rfam by way of RNAcentral